CACGAAUGAGGCAGGCCAUCCCGCACAGCAGCCAGAGGAAUAGUUCCUUUUGGAGUGAGUGUGCCUCCUAGUCCACGACGUUGUCUUGAGUUGGCAGGGUGCCUGAUGCAAUCUUCCCUGGUCUCAGACCGACUUAUCCUGUCAUAGGAGUCUUCCUGUGGUCAACACCCUAACUGUAUUUAAGCCCUCAACCUGUGACCACAUAUUGCAGCUGUUUUUUGGUCCAUGAGAGACAGAGAAGGAGGGAAAGGACCCUCAGAGAAUCGUUCUUAUCUUCCCAAAAGGAGAGAAUUCAGUCAAGAAACCAGAACACAAGAAAAAGCAGCAAGAAAUCUAUUGGGUUAAAGUGAAAGUACAGUCUCGAGACCAAAGGAGAGUGGGCUGCCUGGAAAUCAGGGUUAGGAUUGGUCUCUUUCCUCUAAGAUGGUGGGAAAUCUUGCCCUACUUCUUACAUUAUUUGACAGGUUGAAUGACCUGUUAUAUAACUUUUGUAGGUUAUAUACCUUUUUCUUAGUGCACAGACACCUUAUCCGUAAGUACCUGAGUGAAGCCCACAGAGGCGGGGGUGGGCAAAACCACAAUGCUAACUGGGUGUGGAUGUUAUUUUAAUACUCAGUAAUCCGAAAAGUCCCUGUGGUUCUGGAUAUUCUGAUAAACUGAUUGCAGAACUGAGAACUAGGGGGGGCUUGGGGGUUGGUCAGGACAGUCUUCCAGGCCACUUCCUUGGUGAUGGGCUGGCCUCUUUCUCCUGUUUAUGUCUAACCGCCUACUCUAACAUGGCUGGGGAGGAACACCCAUCCUUCACAGAUUUGGCUGCGCGUGGAUGGAGGAUGGAGAUCUGAGGGAGUAACUGGGGUGCGUUUAAAGUGGUGAGGGCUUUGUCAGGGACUGGAGGUAUCUCAGGAAUCCCUGGGAGUCGGGAUCCCAAACUUACUCGCGGUCACCGUAUGUUAAUUUACAUCACGGGCAAUAUUCAGGGCCUCCCAGGGGUGCUUAAAGCGCUUCCCCGCAGAGUCUAAAAUCUCGGAACAGGGAAGGCGUGAUAGAGCCAGAGGAGGGCUCUGAGAUAGGAUAGGCCAGGCCGGGUGCGCAGGGCUGCGGGACAGCACGGAAUCCACCCCUCACCUCCCACACCGCCCGGCACAAACCACCCCGUUGCCUCCAGCGACUGCCUCCUCCCUCAGGUUAGGAGUUCUCUUGGGUCCGCCCGGAGCUCCGUCAUUGACGCCGACGGCCGCCUGGGGGCGCUCAAGGCGCGGCCCGCUCAAAUGACGCCAUCACAGGAGGUCUGUACGCGCCUGUUCCGCCCCUGGGCGUCGCGUGACGUCACUGAGUAGCCCGGAAGCGCCUGCACACGUUCUCUGACGACUGUGGUCCCCUUGGCUCCGCUGUCACCGGCCAUGGGUCGCUCCCGUCGGACGGGCGCACACAGAGCGCACUCCCUGGCCCGCCAGAUGAAGGCGAAACGGCGGCGGCCAGACCUGGAUGAGAUUCACCGAGAGCUGAGGCUCCA
Molecule: non-coding RNA, 1513 nt
Organism: Manis javanica (Malayan pangolin)
Lineage: Eukaryota; Metazoa; Chordata; Mammalia; Pholidota; Manidae
Source: RefSeq, a predicted model, not a curated record